GUGGCAUCGGAGUUAACUCCCAACCCCUGUGACAUACCAAUUGUUGCCUCGGCGGAUCAGCCCGCUCCCGGUAAAACGGGACGGCCCGCCAGAGGACCCCUAAACUCUGUUUCUAUAUGUAACUUCUGAGUAAAACCAUAAAUAAAUCAAAACUUUCAACAACGGAUCUCUUGGUUCUGGCAUCGAUGAAGAACGCAGCAAAAUGCGAUAAGUAAUGUGAAUUGCAGAAUUCAGUGAAUCAUCGAAUCUUUGAACGCACAUUGCGCCCGCCAGUAUUCUGGCGGGCAUGCCUGUUCGAGCGUCAUUUCAACCCUCAAGCCCCCGGGUUUGGUGUUGGGGAUCGGCGAGCCCUUGCGGCAAGCCGGCCCCGAAAUCUAGUGGCGGUCUCGCUGCAGCUUCCAUUGCGUAGUAGUAAAACCCUCGCAACUGGUACGCGGCGCGGCCAAGCCGUUAAACCCCCAACUUCUGAAUGUUGACCUCGGAUCAGGUAGGAAUACCCGCUGAACUUAAGCAUAUCAAUAAGCGGAGGAA
Molecule: ribosomal RNA, 531 nt
Filed under: uncultured Fusarium
Lineage: Eukaryota; Fungi; Ascomycota; Sordariomycetes; Hypocreales; Nectriaceae
Description: eukaryotic LSU rRNA
Rfam family: 5.8S ribosomal RNA (bases 151-304)
Source: RNAcentral